RNAcentral lists this ribosomal RNA (387 nucleotides) under uncultured bacterium. RNAcentral describes it as "bacterial SSU rRNA". It matches the Rfam family "Bacterial small subunit ribosomal RNA", at positions 28 to 419 of the family's 1533-position model. The record is from RNAcentral.
GACGAACGCUGGCGGCGUGCUUAACACAUGCAAGUCGAGCGGUAAGGCCCUUUGGGGUACACGAGCGGCGAACGGGUGAGUAACACGUGAGUAAUCUGCCUUUGGCUUGGGAAUAACUUCGGGAAAUCGGGGCUAAUGCCUGAUGUUUACUGUCUGCUGCAUGGUGGGUGGUGGAAAGAUUUUUUGGCCAGGGAUGAGCUCGCGGUCUAUCAGCUUGUUGGUGGGGUAAUGGCUUACCAAGGCUUUGACGGGUAGCCGGCCUGAGAGGGUGUUCGGCCACACUGGGACUGAGACACGGCCCAGACUCCUACGGGAGGCAGCAGUGGGGAAUAUUGCGCAAUGGGCGUAAGCCUGACGCAGCGACGCCGCGUGGGGAUGAAGGCCUUC